ACAUGCAAGUCGAGGGGCAGCAUUGGAGUAGCAAUACUUCAGAUGGCGACCGGCGCACGGGUGAGUAACACGUAUCCAACCUGCCGCUUACUCGGGGAUAGCCUUUCGAAAGAAAGAUUAAUACCCGAUGGUAUAAAGAGUUCGCAUGUUCUCUUUAUUAAAGAAUUUCGCUAAGCGAUGGGGAUGCGUUCCAUUAGAUAGUUGGCGGGGUAACGCCCCACCAAGUCUACGAUGGAUAGGGGUUCUGAGAGGAAGGUCCCCCACAUUGGAACUGAGACACGGUCCAAACUCCUACGGGAGGCAGCAGUGAGGAAUAUUGGUCAAUGGACGAGAGUCUGAACCAGCCAAGUAGCGUGAAGGAUGACUGCCCUAUGGGUUGUAAACUUCUUUUAUAAGGGAAUAAAGUGAGGGACGUGUCCCUUUUUGUAUGUACCUUAUGAAUAAGGAUCGGCUAACUCCGUGCCAGCAGCCGCGGUAAUACGGAGGAUCCAAGCGUUAUCCGGAUUUAUUGGGUUUAAAGGGAGCGUAGGUUGACAUAUAAGUCAGCUUGUGAAAGUUUACGGCUCAACCGUGAAAUUGCAGUUGAUACUGUAUGUCUUGAGUGUACAAGAGGUGGGCGGAAUUCGUGGUGUAGCGGUGAAAUGCUUAGAUAUCACGAAGAACUCCAAUUGCGAAGGCAGCUCACUGGGGUACAACUGACACUGAGGCUCGAAAGUGUGGGUAUCAAACAGGAUUAGAUACCCUGGUAGUCCACACAGUAAUCGAUGAAUACUCGCUGUUUGCGAUAUACAGUAAGCGGCCAAGCGAAAGCAUUAAGUAUUCCACCUGGGGAGUACGCCGGCAACGGUGAAACUCAAAGGAAUUGACGGGGGCCCGCACAAGCGGAGGAACAUGUGGUUUAAUUCGAUGAUACGCGAGGAACCUUACCCGGGCUUGAAUUGCAGAGGAACAUAGUUGAAAGAUUAUGGCCGCAAGGUCUCUGUGAAGGUGCUGCAUGGUUGUCGUCAGCUCGUGCCGUGA
This 1020-nucleotide ribosomal RNA is filed under the name Elbe River snow isolate 9_3. RNAcentral describes it as "bacterial SSU rRNA". It matches the Rfam family "Bacterial small subunit ribosomal RNA", at positions 53 to 1070 of the family's 1533-position model. The record is from RNAcentral. Lineage: Bacteria; Bacillati; Bacillota; Bacilli; Caryophanales.